Molecule: long non-coding RNA, 363 nt
Filed under: Olea europaea (common olive)
Lineage: Eukaryota; Viridiplantae; Streptophyta; Magnoliopsida; Lamiales; Oleaceae
Description: long non-coding RNA (OEUR_LNC002690)
Source: RNAcentral
CAUAGUGGAGUUACUUUCUUGUUUGAGUCAUUUUGGUCCUCAAGUUUCAUUCCUUCACUCCUUGACCUCCUCUCUUGUUCCUAGUUGCUCCAAUGGUCCCUUAUAACUUCCAAUUGGUGCUUGGCUUGAUCAAUUGCUUGAUGUGUUCAUCGGAUCAACUUUCAGAUAAUUGCAAUUUGGUCCCUGAAUUUUCUCUUUGCUUCAAUUUGGUCAUUUUUCGGCUCUUUUCUCCUGAAUUCCACUAUUUCCAUAGAAUUUCCUACAUUGCAUGAAUUUGACAAGGUUAAGUAACAAUUAAAUCAAUUUACCUGUAUUUAAGUCAUGUUUGUGAUGUAAAUAAGUGUGCAAAAACACACUUAUCAA